AUUGAACGCUGGCGGCAUGCCUUACACAUGCAAGUCGAACGGCAGCACGAGAGCAAUCCUGGUGGCGAGUGGCGAACGGGUGAGUAAUGUAUCGGAACGUACCUUUCAGUGGGGGAUAACGUAGCGAAAGUUACGCUAAUACCGCAUAUUCUGUGUGCAGGAAAGCAGGGGAUCGCAAGACCUUGCGCUGAUUGAGCGGCCGAUAUCAGAUUAGCUAGUUGGUGAGGUAAAGGCUCACCAAGGCGACGAUCUGUAGCGGGUCUGAGAGGAUGAUCCGCCACACUGGAACUGAGACACGGUCCAGACUCCUACGGGAGGCAGCAGUGGGGAAUUUUGGACAAUGGGGGCAACCCUGAUCCAGCCAUGCCGCGUGAGUGAAGAAGGCCUC
This 388-nucleotide ribosomal RNA is filed under the name uncultured bacterium. RNAcentral's name for it is "bacterial SSU rRNA". It matches the Rfam family "Bacterial small subunit ribosomal RNA", at positions 30 to 418 of the family's 1533-position model. The record is from RNAcentral.